Homo sapiens (human) is the source of this 569-nucleotide long non-coding RNA. Ensembl annotates it as long intergenic non-protein coding RNA 2074. The record is from Ensembl. Lineage: Eukaryota; Metazoa; Chordata; Mammalia; Primates; Hominidae.
AGCAACCCGUUUGGUUAUCUUUCUGUGCUGUGGAAGGUUUGUUCUUUCACUCUGCACUAUUUUGCAAUAAAUAUUGCUAUUGCUCACUUUGGGUUUAUAUUGCCUUUAUGAGCUGUAACACUCACCAUGAAGGUCUGCAGCUUUACUCUUGAAGCUUAGCGAGACCACUAACCCACCAGAAGGAAGAAACUCCGGACACGCCGCCUUUAAGAACUGUAAUACUCAGUGCGAGGGUUCACGGCUUCAUUCUUGAGAAAGACAACGAGGAGGGAGCAGCUAGAGGGGUGGAAAUGGGAUCACGUGACCUUGCGAGAAGCAGGGAGAGAGAACACUGCGUCUGCUCCCUUUUAGAACAGCUCAAUAUAGGGAAUCCCUAACAGAGGACUUCCAGGAUAUCCUAGGGACAGCAGAGCCUCAAGAUCCAGGGAGGAUCCUGGAUACCUGAGUCACCACUUGGAGGGGAAUCUCCUGGAAGAACUGAUUGAUCAGCAACAUCUACAUUCAACUUGAGGGUCUUCUUGCUUGGUGAGCCUGGUGGUUGGCCAACAGCUCUGGCAUUGUGGGACCCA